This is a long non-coding RNA of Callorhinus ursinus (northern fur seal), 434 nucleotides long. RefSeq lists it as uncharacterized. The record is from RefSeq and is a predicted model, not a curated record. Lineage: Eukaryota; Metazoa; Chordata; Mammalia; Carnivora; Otariidae.
CUUUCUAUUGAAGCAAUCCCUAACUUAGUUUUAGUCUCUAAAAGUGUUAUUUAAAGACCGCAUUUCAUAAGCUAUAUAUAAUUCCUACAGUAAUGUCUCUUUAACUUGAACAUUAUAAAUAAUAUUUGACUUAUUUCAGAUGCAGCGGGAGAUGGAAAGGAAUAUAACUAGAGAACUAGAAGAAGCUGCUGCUGGAUUUGAAUCAGACUCAUUGUGUAAGACCUCCUCUUUAGAAUCUACUUGUGAACCACAUGUAAAGUACGAUCUACUAGAGAAAUCGUCAAAAGGAUUUUUACAGACUUUGAAGAAAAAGUACAUGUUCUGAAAGAUCAAUAAUAAUUCAUUUACUGGAUGUUUGUAUAACAUCUUAAUUGUGUCCUACUAAACGUAUGAUGUGUGAAAAUCUUUAUUAAAGGAAACAGGUUUGGAUCAUA